UACGUAGGUGGCGAGCGUUGUCCGGAUUUACUGGGCGUAAAGAGCGCGCAGGCGGUCGUACAAGUCGCGUGUGAAAGCCCCUGGCUCAACUGGGGAGGGUCACGCGAUACUGCUCGACUUGAAGGCAGGAGAGGGAAGUGGAAUUCCCGGUGUAGUGGUGAAAUGCGUAGAUAUCGGGAGGAACACCAGUGGCGAAGGCGACUUCCUGGCCUGUUCUUGACGCUGAGGCGCGAAAGCUAGGGUAGCAAACGGG
RNAcentral lists this ribosomal RNA (253 nucleotides) under uncultured bacterium. RNAcentral describes it as "partial 16S ribosomal RNA". It matches the Rfam family "Bacterial small subunit ribosomal RNA", at positions 524 to 776 of the family's 1533-position model. The record is from RNAcentral.